RNAcentral lists this ribosomal RNA (631 nucleotides) under Staphylococcus pseudintermedius. Its description in RNAcentral is "partial 23S ribosomal RNA". It matches the Rfam family "Bacterial large subunit ribosomal RNA", at positions 380 to 1012 of the family's 2925-position model. The record is from RNAcentral. Lineage: Bacteria; Bacillati; Bacillota; Bacilli; Caryophanales; Staphylococcaceae.
CGAAAACGAAUUCUCUCUUGAGUGGAUCCUGAGUACGACGGAGCACGUGAAAUUCCGUCGGAAUCUGGGAGGACCAUCUCCUAAGGCUAAAUACUCUCUAGUGACCGAUAGUGAACCAGUACCGUGAGGGAAAGGUGAAAAGUACCCCGGAAGGGGAGUGAAAGAGAACUUGAAACCGUGUGCUUACAAGUAGUCAGAGCCCGUUAAUGGGUGAUGGCGUGCCUUUUGUAGAAUGAACCGGCGAGUUACGAUCUGAUGCAAGGUUAAGCAGAAAAUGUGGAGCCGUAGCGAAAGCGAGUCUGAAUAGGGCGAAUGAGUAUUUGGUCGUAGACCCGAAACCAGGUGAUCUACCCUUGGUCAGGUUGAAGUUCAGGUAACACUGAAUGGAGGACCGAACCGACUUACGUUGAAAAGUGAGCGGAUGAACUGAGGGUAGCGGAGAAAUUCCAAUCGAACUUGGAGAUAGCUGGUUCUCUCCGAAAUAGCUUUAGGGCUAGCCUCAAGUGAUGAUUAUUGGAGGUAGAGCACUGUUUGGACGAGGGGCCCCUCUCGGGUUACCGAAUUCAGACAAACUCCGAAUGCCAAAUAAUUUAACUUGGGAGUCAGAAUGUGGGUGAUAAGGUCCAUAUUC